Long non-coding RNA from Canis lupus familiaris (dog), 690 nucleotides. RefSeq lists it as uncharacterized. NCBI's taxonomy places the organism in Eukaryota, Metazoa, Chordata, Mammalia, Carnivora, Canidae. The record is from RefSeq and is a predicted model, not a curated record. The transcript has 2 exons.
GCACGCACGCACGCACGCACGCUCGCGGUCGGGAUGGCCGCGUGGCCCACAGUCCGCAGACUCCAGGCUGGAAGCUUCUCCCCCGGGGCAGCACCAAGGCGCCACAACUGAAGUUUGAACAAAGUAGGGAGAAAAGGAGGAGUCUGAGGCCCCAGUCACGGCAGAUCCAUGAGCUGGAAGGAGCCUGGGCCCCCGAGUCUCUGCCUGGAGGAGAGCCUACCAACCGUGACCACCUAAAUUGGAUAUGAGCGAGAAAUCAACUAGUGUGCUAAGCCAUGACCGAUUUUUGUUCACUUGAGCAGCUAGCAAUACCACUCUACAACCACAGUGUCUAGACUAACAAUUUGAACAGUUGUGGUCCUGCCCCUACCAAAAAUUUAAAACAAAUCACAUGUCUCUUCCUUUGUGUGAACUGGGCUUUUGUUAGCGCAAAGGAGAAAGAUGUUCAAAGAAAUAAAAUGAGGGGCUGUUAAGCCAACGUGAAAGAUUUCCAUGGGCACCAGAUGUAGAAAGAGCAUUAUUAAACGGAUUAUAUAGAUCUUAGUGACAGUAAUUUUGACCUCCUAUAGGCACCGUCAGCUGUUAAACAGUAGGAAAUGUUGAUGACCUUGUUCUAAUUUCCAUUUAUAUUUAUUCUAAAUUGGACACCUCAGAGAUUGUUUAAAUAAAAAAGGGAAAUUCACUAAGUAA